RNAcentral lists this ribosomal RNA (492 nucleotides) under uncultured bacterium. RNAcentral describes it as "partial 16S ribosomal RNA". It matches the Rfam family "Bacterial small subunit ribosomal RNA", at positions 29 to 507 of the family's 1533-position model. The record is from RNAcentral.
AGUGAACGCUGGCGGUAGGCCUAACACAUGCAAGUCGAACGGCAGCACAGUAAGAGCUUGUUCUUACGGGUGGCGAGUGGCGGACGGGUGAGGAAUACAUCGGAAUCUACUUUUUCGUGGGGGAUAACGUAGGGAAACUUACGCUAAUACCGCAUACGACCUACGGGUGAAAGCAGGGGAUCUUCGGACCUUGCGCGAUUGAAUGAGCCGAUGUCGGAUUAGCUAGUUGGCGGGGUAAAGGCCCACCAAGGCGACGAUCCGUAGCUGGUCUGAGAGGAUGAUCAGCCACACUGGAACUGAGACACGGUCCAGACUCCUACGGGAGGCAGCAGUGGGGAAUAUUGGACAAUGGGCGCAAGCCUGAUCCAGCCAUACCGCGUGGGUGAAGAAGGCCUUCGGGUUGUAAAGCCCUUUUGUUGGGAAAGAAAAGCAGCAGGUUAAUACCCCGCUGCUCUGACGGUACCCAAAGAAUAAGCACCGGCUAACUUCGUG